AGAAACGUGCUUGUUUUUUGUUCUGAUCGAGUGUAGCACAUACUUUUAAAUUUCAAGAAAUUUGAGAUCUAUUCGUACAAUGAGUGAGGGAGUGAGUGAGUAUGGUUUUACGCCGCUUUCAGCAAUAUUCCAGCAAUAUCACGGCGGGGUACACCAGAAAUGGGCUUCACACAUUGUACCCAUGUCGGGAAUCGAACCCGGAUCUUCGGCGUGACGAGCGAACGCUUUAACCACUAGGCUACCCGACCGCCCCUAUUCGUACACUGGAAGCUUAUAAUUAGAAAAAUCAGUAUUUCUGGCCGUUGAUGAUGCUCAUUAUCCAUGCAGGUUCCCCUCGAAUAGAUAGAAGGGGUGCAUCUUCCGUUGGGGACAUGGGAAUUCAAAUUCACGGAGAAAAGAGGACACACGUGGAAACUUCACAACAAAAUCUUCGUUUGUAUACAUAUCAAUAUUUACUAAAUCAUGCAUUCGAAAAUACUUCCCUUCAGGAGGAUUAUCUCAGUAUAGUUUUAUUCAAGAGUUAGUAAGAGGUAAUGAACUGGAUAAUAUUAUAUUAUAAACAGGUGUCACUUCUACAGUCUUUAAAUUUAAAACUGCAUGUCUAAUGUUAAAAAAUUGUACAUUAUCACCCAUAAACAUAACAUCCUUCUUUGGACAAAGUUUGUUGAAACCGUCUCAAUGUGUGUCUAACCUUAGAUUCAUGCAUACAAAUAUUAGCCUUUGCGGAUGUAAAUGAAGCACCAAGUUCUCGCCAUGUGUAUAUGCAUUUGUUUGUGUCAUGUUAUUCCUUGAUGUUCAACAGAAAAGUUUCUAUUUUCAGGGUCACCUUUAACUUAUCAUGAGUCUAUACGACAACUUUAUGUAGCAUGUCCUAUACUUUAUAUGCACGCUGACCGGGCCAACCGACAGCAUUGCCAUGUAACUCAAGACUGCCAUCUGGUGAACCGGCCAACACGGCAAUGGAGCUGGGGCCAGCUGAUGCAGUACCGUGGCACCACUAGUACCCACAGCCUCAAUCAUGGAAGUGAUGUUGUUCAAUACUGGGAGACACAUUCUGUUGUGAAGAUGGGUAGAGGUGUGUUGGAAUCAGGCGAUUCUAUCUUGGAGAUGGGUAUUGCAGAGGUAGGUUCUGUAGACGGUAACUACCAUAUCAGAUGUCAGCCCCGAUACUGGUGUGUCAGUGUGAGCUGCUGCAACUUACAUCGACCAGUGAUCUGUACAUCCAUUUGGCAAGAGGGGAGGCAGGAUGUGCGCCAAACUAUCAGAAUGCAUCACUCGCCCGGGACAGAGACUACCCUGCACUAUGGUAUUGCAGUGGAUAUAUGGAGAGGGAGGAUCGUCUUUAUCGAUGUAGCCACAGGGGCUGUUUUAGCCAAGCUGGAUACGCGGUUUCGAGAAAGUCUUUUCCCUAUGUUUGGCAUAUCCGCACGUCAACAUUACUGUGCCGUGAGGAUGACACUGAUCAGCGGGAACGACCUCCACUUGACGGACAGGAAGCGAUGGCUCAUCCAUGAUGCAAUGUCUCAUUGACAAACCACACUAUCAGACAUGCGAAAUGAUCUUUAUAGAGUAAGCCAUGCGCAGGGUGCCAUAUACGGCGAUAUCGACUCACUUAACGUUAAAGUUGAACUUGUAGAGACAAGGCUCUGAGAUCAACAGGAUGAAUCGUUUGAUAGCUGUAAAGACAGAAUUUCUCUAUCCUUAACGAUCAGGGGCGGUCGGGUAGCCUAGUGGUUAAAGCGUUCGCUCGUCACGCCGAAGACCCGGGUUCGAUCCCCGACAUGGGUACAAUGUGUGAAGCCCAUUUCUGGUGUACCCCGCCGUGAUAUAGCUGGAAUAUUGAUAAAGAACGGUAAGCUGAUUAUGAGGCCUGGGACUCCUGAAAACAACUCAAGACUAAACUCAAGCCGAAGGUACCCCCGGGCUAGACCAGCGCCCUUGUGCUCCUGUGACACCACCUGGCUGCGGUGAUACGAUGGAUAAUAGCUAGGGGCCCAUAACUUUGAAUACUUAUCAGUGCAAAACAUGCCAGUGUCCCUUCAGACUUCAAACUUUAACCUUGGUAUAUUGAAGGCUUUGCAGCAAAAAUAAGAUUCUGAAUUUAUGGAAAAUAUAUAAACGUUCGAAAUAAUAUUUUUUUGUAUGCCUAGUCGAAACUUUCAUUGACAAAGAAGAAGCCAUACCUCAGCUCUCUACUUAUGGUAUGUCUAUCGCUAAAGGCCAUUGGCUAGCUAAGGCUGGUUGACAUUCCGGCGGUGUAAUCUUGUUGGUGAAGAACACAAUAACUACAUACUGCUACAAAAAUUACACUUGACAUUGAUAACGUUGUAGGCUUAAAGACUGAUAAAACACUUUGUGGUAGCAGAGUUAUUUUACUGUUUGGAAUGUAUGCCCUAUCGAUUCAACACUGUGUGUGGCAACUGAUAAGACAACGGCUACAGAGAAAGUUGGCCAGUGGCUGACUGAGCAUGCUGACCACGACUGUGAGAUCAUAUACGGGGACCUGAACACUCGUGUAGGUGGGGAUAAUAACCCACCAGAGACACACACUAACCAGGCCUCGAUACCACGGCCUUUCCCGAGGAACAGUCACCUCCUAUUAAUCAUAGACAG
Long non-coding RNA from Haliotis rufescens (red abalone), 2613 nucleotides. RefSeq lists it as uncharacterized. The record is from RefSeq and is a predicted model, not a curated record. NCBI's taxonomy places the organism in Eukaryota, Metazoa, Mollusca, Gastropoda, Lepetellida, Haliotidae. The transcript has 3 exons.